AACGAACGCUGGCGGCAUGCCUAACACAUGCAAGUCGAACGAGUGCCUUCGGGUGCUAGUGGCGCACGGGUGCGUAACGCGUGGGAAUCUGCCCUUAGGUUCGGAAUAACAGCUGGAAACGGCUGCUAAUACCGGAUGAUAUCGCGAGAUCAAAAAUUUAUCGCCUGAGGAUGAGCCCGCGUUGGAUUAGGUAGUUGGUGGGGUAAAGGCCUACCAAGCCGACGAUCCAUAGCUGGUCUGAGAGGAUGAUCAGCCACACUGGGACUGAGACCCGGCCCAGACUCGUACGGGAGGCAGCAGUGGGGAAUAUUGGACAAUGGGCGAAAGCCUGAUCCAGCAAUGCGGCGGGAGUGAUGAAGGCCCUAGGGUUGUAAAGCUCUUUUACCCGGGAAGAUAAUGACUGUACCGGGAGAAUAAGCCCCGGCUAACUCCGUGCCAGCCGCCGCCGUAA
This 451-nucleotide ribosomal RNA is filed under the name uncultured bacterium. RNAcentral's name for it is "partial 16S ribosomal RNA". It matches the Rfam family "Bacterial small subunit ribosomal RNA", at positions 29 to 523 of the family's 1533-position model. The record is from RNAcentral.